UGUUAUUGUUAUUGAUUUGGUGUAGUGUCCAUAAUAAGCUGACACACAACACCUUUAGCCGGCAUGGAAAGUGUUGUGCCAGUGGCCGAGUUCCAACAGAUCAAGCUGAGACCGGUGCCAAAGGUUAAAAGGCGUGCCCCACAGCCGCCAAUGAGUCUCAAGCUGAAGCAUAAAAAUACUUCUGCCACCACAAAGACAACAACGCUUACCACACCUGCCAAAUUAUAUGGCAAGGAUCUAAGCGAAUACGAUGAUGUGGAUGUGGAGAGCUUGUUGGCUCAACUCUCUCCCGAAGAGAUAACAAUUUUGGCCAAAGAAGUGGAUCCUGAUGACAACUUUCUGCCGCCAGAUCAGCGUUGCAGCUAUGAGUGCACCAAAGAUGCCACUGGGCCGCUGAACCGCAAGCAAUUGAUUGAGCACAUUAAUAAGCAGGCAAUUGAGACUCCCGACCAGCCAGAAUUUGAGCCAUAUGUUCAGGGCAAAGUGCGCGGCAAGAAGUGGGUGCCACCACCCAGAGAUGCUCGCGAAAUUGAGGCCGAGGAACAGAUUGCCAUCGAUAUGGGCGAGGAGUAUGAGCAUGCAUUGAAUGAUGCCACACAGGAGGAGAUUAUCGAUUUGGCUGCCAUUCUUGGUUUCCAUUCGAUGAUGAAUCAGGAUCAAUAUCAUGCCUCACUCCUUAACAAAGGUCAACCAGUGGGUUUGGGUUGGGAUGGUGUCACCAAAUCGACGCAGCAGAAACUUUUCCCCAUGGAUCCGCCCAAUGCCACAGAUGUGGAGGAAUCAAUCAAACGCGUCAAGGACGAUGACUCCAAGCUGAUUGAUCUGAACUUAAAUAACAUUAAGAAUAUCUCUGAUGAGAAACUCGAACAACUCUUUGCCGCACUGCCUCAGAACGAACAUCUGGAAGUUCUAUCGCUGACAAAUGUCGGCCUGACCGAUAGGACAGCUCUCCUGCUCGCCGAGGCGAUCGAGAAAAGCAAAACCCUGAGAGUAUUAAAUGUUGAGACCAACUUCAUCAGUCCACCCGUGAUUGUUAAGCUGGUGCAAGCCCUGCUCAAGUGUCACACCAUUGAAGAGUUCCGGGCCACCAACCAGCGAUCAGGGGUGCUGGGCAACAAGAUUGAAAUGGAGAUUACCGAUUUAGUGGAGAAGAACUCUUCGCUGCUGAGACUUGGCUUGCAUCUGGAAUUCAAUGAUGCCCGUCAUCGUGUGGCCGCCCAUCUGCAGCGCAACAUCGACAGAAUACGUGUGAAACGCCUGAAUCAGCGUAAAUAAACAAACAAAAAAGACAAAGCAAAACCAACAACAACAACAACAAGAACAGCAUACAACCAUUUUAUGUUUGUGUGUGUAUGAGUGUGUUUUGUUUUUGGUUGUUCAAUCUUUAUAUUUUUCAUUACUAAUUCAACAAUCGGCAACACCAUCACCAAAACCACCAAAAAAACCAACAACAAGAACUACAACUACACCACCAGCUACAAGAACCACCUGAACAACAACAACAACAACAACAACAACAACUGCCCCAGCCGAUCAACAACUACAGCAAGAGCAAUAUGAUUGUCUAUGUGAAUGUUGAAACACAGUCUAUAUCCCCGUGUAUAUCCCCAUAUAUUUGUUUGCCCUCCUGAACCAACCAAACAACCAGCCGCCAAACUAACAACGAAGAAUGAUGUUAACAUCCAUUGGACGUCAACGUCGCAUGGGUCAUCUGAGCAGGAAUUACACCAUUGGCGUUUGGCAGUAAUUGGAAUGAGGAGGGAUCAGCAAUGGAUGAUUGGAGAACGGAUGGAUUAGAAAUACUACCUACUGGCCUUCAUGUGCUAACUGCUAUCUUUAA
This 1840-nucleotide unclassified non-coding RNA is filed under the name Drosophila willistoni. RNAcentral describes it as "GK14144". Lineage: Eukaryota; Metazoa; Arthropoda; Insecta; Diptera; Drosophilidae. The record is from RNAcentral.